This 775-nucleotide long non-coding RNA is filed under the name Equus asinus (donkey). RNAcentral describes it as "lncRNA (ENSEASG00005028887.1)". The record is from RNAcentral. Lineage: Eukaryota; Metazoa; Chordata; Mammalia; Perissodactyla; Equidae.
AAACGGGGUGGAGCAUCACAGGUGAUUCUAAUGAGCAUCACAGUUGGGAAUCAAUGAGCUUCUCUGCUUUUCAGGGAAACUUUGGAGACAGACAUGGAUGGAGGGACAUUGCCAUGUGAAGAUGAAGGCAGAGAUCUACAAGUCAAGGAAUGCCUAAGACUGACAGCAAGACGUCAGAAGCUAGGAGAGAGGCACGGACACUUUCCCUCACCGCCCCCAGAAGGAACCAACCCUGCCGGCGGCCCCUUGAUCUCAAACUUCCAGCCUCCAGAACUGGGAGAUAAUGAAUCUCUGCUGUUUGAGUCACCCCAUUUGUGGCUGUUUGUUAUGGCAGCCACAUGGAAACGGAGGUGUUUACGAUGUUCGUCUAAAAGACAAUUUGUCAUCCACCCACGGACAAGAGUUCAUGCGGGGAGCUGAGGGCCUCAGCACUGUAAGCCAAGGGAACCUGGAGGAGUCUCGCCCACCUGUGCGUUGGGUGAUAGACACGCAGACAGACCUCAGUCCUGGCUGUGGAUCCAGCAGUGGGCCAUGAACUGACUCCAGGUCCUCUCCGCUGUGGUCUGGGAGCCCCUGGAGAAUACUGACUUAAAUAAUCACCCACAGAUGAGACAGCCUUUGUGGAAGUCCAGGAUUCCAACAAAGAAAGUUCUAGCACAACGUUGGAGCAAAAAAAUAUGAGUUUGGACACAUUGCAAAGGGCAAGAGGAACAGUUUGACUUUGUCCACAUCACCUCUCCCCUAAGGUGGCACAGCUCCAUGCCAAGACUGUCUC